ACUGAACGCUGGCGGCAGGCCUAACACAUGCAAGUCGAACGAGUGGCGGACGGGUGAGUAAUGUCUGGGAACCUGCCUGAUGGAGGGGGAUAACUACUGGAAACGGUAGUUAUUACCGCAUACCAUCGGAUGUGCCCAGAUGGGAUUGGCUAGUAGGUGGGGUAAAGGCUAACCUAGGCGACGAUCCCUAGCUGGUCUGAGAGGAGGACCAGCCACACUGGAACGGAGACACGGUCAAGAUUCCUACGGGAGGCAGAAGUGGGGAAUAUUGCACAAUGGGCGCAAGCCUGAUGCAGCCAGGCCGCGUGUAUGAGGAAGGCCUUCGGGUUGUAAAGUACUUUCAGCGGGGAGGCGUUACCCGCAGAAGAAGCACCGGCUAACUCCGUGCCAGCCGCCGCGGUAAUUC
RNAcentral lists this ribosomal RNA (406 nucleotides) under uncultured bacterium. RNAcentral describes it as "partial 16S ribosomal RNA". It matches the Rfam family "Bacterial small subunit ribosomal RNA", at positions 30 to 526 of the family's 1533-position model. The record is from RNAcentral.